AUAGCUGAUGUCUGCAUCAGCAACAAAAACAGUCUCUGAGCACUGGCAUCAAGGAGCAUUUGAUGUGAACAAAGUGACAUCUUGUUUCAUCAAAGGUUAAUGAGUACAGCAGCUCUGUCAGCAAUACAUUAAGACAGCAGUGUCACUGUUCCCCAUACUUGGUGGGUUCAAGGCAGACUGCAAGCAUUACCAUUCGCGCAUUUGUCGGGGGUUCUUUUCUCUCCCAGCUCACUUCCAGUAUCCAUGACUGAAGCCAAGGAUGAGAAGUUUGUUUCUGCUUGGGAGCUGCCCAGAUGAGGACAAGUUUCCCUUGAAGAGCUGGAGUAGCCUAGAGGACAAAUUGGGCUUCCUGGUUCCAGAACUCCUCAAUCCAUUUGCACUAACACAGAAAAUAAGUUUGAAAAUAAGACA
Corvus hawaiiensis (hawaiian crow) is the source of this 411-nucleotide long non-coding RNA. RefSeq lists it as uncharacterized. NCBI's taxonomy places the organism in Eukaryota, Metazoa, Chordata, Aves, Passeriformes, Corvidae. The transcript is spliced from 3 exons. The record is from RefSeq and is a predicted model, not a curated record.